AACGAACGCUGGCGGCAUGCCUAACACAUGCAAGUCGAACGAGACCUUCGGGUCUAGUGGCGCACGGGUGCGUAACGCGUGGGAACCUGCCCUUAGGUUCGGAAUAACUCCCCGAAAGGGGUGCUAAUACCGGAUAAUGUCUUCGGACCAAAGAUUUAUCGCCUUUGGAUGGGCCCGCGUUGGAUUAGCUAGUUGGUAGGGUAAAAGCCUACCAAGGCGACGAUCCAUAGCUGGUCUGAGAGGAUGAUCAGCCACACUGGGACUGAGACACGGCCCAGACCCCACCGGAGGGCGGCAGGGGGAAUAUUGGACAAUGGGCGAAAGCCUGAUCCAGCAAUGCCGCGUGAGUGAUGAAGGCCUUAGGGUUGUAAAGCUCUUUUACCCGGGAUGAUAAUGACAGUACCGGGAGAAUAAGCUCCGGCUAACUCCGUG
This 432-nucleotide ribosomal RNA is filed under the name uncultured bacterium. RNAcentral describes it as "partial 16S ribosomal RNA". It matches the Rfam family "Bacterial small subunit ribosomal RNA", at positions 29 to 507 of the family's 1533-position model. The record is from RNAcentral.